RNAcentral lists this unclassified non-coding RNA (304 nucleotides) under plant metagenome. Its description in RNAcentral is "partial contains 5.8S ribosomal RNA, internal transcribed spacer 2, and large subunit ribosomal RNA". The stretch from base 1 to 105 matches the Rfam family "5.8S ribosomal RNA", at positions 50 to 154 of the family's 154-position model. The record is from RNAcentral.
GAAAUGCGAUAAGUAAUGUGAAUUGCAGAAUUCCGUGAAUCAUCGAAUCUUUGAACGCACAUUGCGCCCCCUGGCAUUCCGGGGGGCAUGCCUGUCCGAGCGUCAUUUCUGCCCUCAAGCACGGCUUGUGUGUUGGGUGUGGUCCCCCCGGGGACCUGCCCGAAAGGCAGCGGCGACGUCCGUCUGGUCCUCGAGCGUAUGGGGCUCUGUCACUCGCUCGGGAAGGACCUGCGGGGGUUUGUCACCACCAUAUUUCACCACGGUUGACCUCGGAUCAGGUAGGAGUUACCCGCUGAACUUAAGC